Molecule: ribosomal RNA, 207 nt
Filed under: uncultured bacterium
Lineage: Bacteria
Description: partial 16S ribosomal RNA
Rfam family: Bacterial small subunit ribosomal RNA
Source: RNAcentral
CGUCUAGGCGGUCAGAUAAGUGGGAUGUGAAAUGCCCCGGCUCACCCGGGGACCGGCAUCCCAAACUGUCUGGCUUGAGUAUGGGAGAGGAUGUGGGAAUUCCUGGUGUAGCGGUGAAAUGCGUAGAUAUCAGGAGGAACACCGGUGGCGAAGGCGCACAUCUGGCCCAAUACUGACGCUAAAGCGCGAAAGCUAGGGAGGCAAACG